CCUGGUUGAUCCUGCCAGUAGUCAUAUGCUUGUCUCAAAGAUUAAGCCAUGCAUGUCUCAGUACAUACCAAUCAUUACGGUGAAACCGCGAAUGGCUCAUUAAAUCAGUUAUGGUUCAUUAGAUCUUAACCAAGUUACUUGGAUAACUGUGGUAAUUCUAGAGCUAAUACAUGCAACCAAGCUCCGACCGCAAGGGAAGGGCGCUUUUAUUAGAUCAAAACCAAUCGGUCUUCGGGCCGCCAUGUCGUGUUGACUCUGAAUAACUUUGUUCUGAGCGUACGGUCUUCGAACCGACGCCGCAUCUUUCAAGUGUCUGCCUUAUCAGCUUUCGAUUGUAGGCUAUGCGCCUACAAUGGCUAUAACGGGUAACGGGGAAUCAGGGUUCGAUUCCGGAGAGGGAGCCUGAGAAACGGCUACCACAUCCAAGGAAGGCAGCAGGCGCGCAAAUUACCCACUCCCGACUCGGGGAGGUAGUGACGAAAAAUAACGAUGCGGGACUCUUCCGAGGCUUCGCAAUCGGAAUGAGCUCAACCUAAAUCCUUGUACGAGGAUCCAUUGGAGGGCAAGUCUGGUGCCAGCAGCCGCGGUAAUUCCAGCUCCAAUAGCGUAUAUUAAAGUUGUUGCGGUUAAAAAGCUCGUAGUUGGAUCUCGGGAUCGAGCUGACGGUCCGCCGCGAGGCGUGCCACCGUCUGUCCCAGCCCCUGCCUCUCGGCGCCCCCUCGAUGCUCUUGACUGAGUGUCCCGCCGGGGCCCGAAGCGUUUACUUUGAAAAAAUUAGAGUGCUCAAAGCAGGCGUUUGCCUGAAUAGUUGUGCAUGGAAUGAUGAAAAAGGACCUCGGUUCUAUUUUGUUGGUUUUCGGAACCCGAGGUAAUGAUUAAUAGCGACGGACGGGGGCAUCCGUAUUGCGACGCUAGAGGUGAAAUUCUUGGACCGUCGCAAGACGCACUACUGCGAAAGCAUUUGCCAAGCACGUUCCCAUUAAUCAAGAACGAAAGUUAGAGGCUCGAAGGCGAUCAGAUACCGCCCUAGUUCUAACCAUAAACGUUGCUGACUAGCGAUCCGCCUGUGUUAAUCCCAUGACUAGGCGGGCAGCNGGUGUCGCAUUGACCUGUUGAGCUUGUACAAGGUGAGAAGAGAGCGGUGUCACCGGUGCUUGGGAAAUAGGGCAAACAAGCCGUGUGACUAGUAGCAACCGCGAAACAAUGAAUUAAACUAACCUAAAGCGUUGUGUGAACACCUUGUUCAGGAUGAACUGGCUGGCCAGAGACCACCUCUCGUUAUUAUAGAGAGGCUGGCCAGCGAGCAAGAGGACUCGAGCACUUUGCUAUUUGUGAAAGGGUGCACUCGAGUCCCUCUGUCAAACUAAUUACUUACUGGACCUCGUCUCCAGAGAGAUUACCCGCCAAAUUUAAGCAUAUCAUUCAGCGGAGGAAAAGAAACCAACAGGGAUUCCUUCAGUAGGGGCGACUGAACAGGGAUGAGCCCAGCGCAGAAUCGCGUUAACAGCGCGAAAUGUUGCGUUUCGGAGGGUCGCUUCUCUUUUGUGCACGUGCUGCUUAAGUCAGACUUGAACGUCGCCACUACCCAUGGAGGGUGUGAGGCCCGUGUAGCAGCGUCGUGCCGAGAGAUUGGCCUCUCUGUAGAGUCGGGUUGCUUAGUAAUGCAGCCCAAAGCAGGUGGUAAACUCCAUCCAAG
Molecule: ribosomal RNA, 1696 nt
Filed under: Pungitius pungitius (ninespine stickleback)
Lineage: Eukaryota; Metazoa; Chordata; Actinopteri; Perciformes; Gasterosteidae
Description: SSU rRNA
Rfam family: Eukaryotic small subunit ribosomal RNA (bases 2-1121)
Source: RNAcentral